GGUGGCGAGUGGCGGACGGGUGAGGAAUACAUCGGAAUCUACUCUGUCGUGGGGGAUAACGUAGGGAAACUUACGCUAAUACCGCAUACGACCUACGGGUGAAAGCAGGGGAUCUUCGGACCUUGCGCGAUUGAAUGAGCCGAUGUCGGAUUAGCUAGUUGGCGGGGUAAAGGCCCACCAAGGCGACGAUCCGUAGCUGGUCUGAGAGGAUGAUCAGCCACACUGGAACUGAGACACGGUCCAGACUCCUACGGGAGGCAACACUGGGGAAUAUUGGACAAUGGGCGCAAGCCUGAUCCAGCCAUACCGCGUGGGUGAAGAAGGCCUUCGGGUUGUAAAGCCCUUUUGUUGGGAAAGAAAUCCAUCUGGUUAAUACCCGGGUGGGAUGACGGUACCCAAAGAAUAAUCACCGGCUAACUUCGUGCCAGCAGCCGCGGUAAUACGAAGGGUGCAAGCGUUACUCGGAAUUACUGGGCGUAAAGCGUGCGUAUGUGGUCGUUUGAGUCCGUUGUGAAACCCUGGGCUCAACCUGGGAACUGCGUGGAUACUGGGCGACUAGAAUGUGGUAGAAUUAGCGGAAUCCUGGUGAGCAUGAUAUGCGUAGAGAUCACGAUGAACAUCCUGGCUAAUGCAGCUACCGGACCACAUUGACACUGACGCACGAAGCGUGGGAGCAACAGGAUGGAUACCUGGUAGUCACACCCUAACGAUGCUACUGGAU
RNAcentral lists this ribosomal RNA (721 nucleotides) under Stenotrophomonas hibiscicola. Its description in RNAcentral is "bacterial SSU rRNA". It matches the Rfam family "Bacterial small subunit ribosomal RNA", at positions 87 to 821 of the family's 1533-position model. Lineage: Bacteria; Pseudomonadati; Pseudomonadota; Gammaproteobacteria; Lysobacterales; Lysobacteraceae. The record is from RNAcentral.